GCCCCUGUAGUCCAACGGCAGAGACAAUGGUUUCAAAAGCCAUCAAGUGUGGGUUCGAAUCCCACCGGGGGCACCC
Molecule: transfer RNA, 76 nt
Filed under: Micromonospora craterilacus
Lineage: Bacteria; Bacillati; Actinomycetota; Actinomycetes; Micromonosporales; Micromonosporaceae
Description: Jishengella sp. NA12 tRNA-Leu
Rfam family: tRNA
About the family: Transfer RNA (tRNA) molecules are approximately 80 nucleotides in length.
Source: RNAcentral